GAAUUCAUCAGCAAAUAACGUUACUAAUGCUGCAAAUGAGUGGGGCUGGGUGGGGUUGGGCUGGCUCUCACCCUGCCCUCCAGAUGCAAUGAGUGUGGGGACACUGGUGACUUCUACAAAGGCUCAUUGAAAAGGUCCAGUCCAGCAGCGGCUUGGUCUAAGUCCCUCCUGCAGACUUUGCUCCUGCUGGCCCACAUCUGCGACUUUCUUCUGAAGACUCCAAGAGGGCUACUGGAGACACCAAAAGAAGAGCCGCCACACAGAGACCCAAGU
RNAcentral lists this long non-coding RNA (273 nucleotides) under Homo sapiens (human). RNAcentral's name for it is "HSALNT0389389". The record is from RNAcentral. Lineage: Eukaryota; Metazoa; Chordata; Mammalia; Primates; Hominidae.